This 497-nucleotide ribosomal RNA is filed under the name uncultured bacterium. Its description in RNAcentral is "partial 16S ribosomal RNA". It matches the Rfam family "Bacterial small subunit ribosomal RNA", at positions 29 to 507 of the family's 1533-position model. The record is from RNAcentral.
AGUGAACGCUGGCGGUGUGCCUAACACAUGCAAGUCGAGCGACCACACGGGGAGCUUUCUCCUCUAACGUUAGCGGCGGACGGGUGAGUAGAACAUAGAUAACCUUCCUCUAUCACGGGGGUAACUUCGGGAAACCGGACCCAAUACCCGCAAAUAUAUUUAACGGCAUGGUUCAAUAGUGCAAGACGGUUUUCCUGUCACUGAUAGAUUGUCCCGCGCCGGAUUAGCUAGUUGGUAAGGUAACGGCUUACCAAGGCAACGAUGCGUAGCCGACCUGAGAGGGUGAUCAGCCACACUGGAACUGAGACACGGUCCAGACUCCUACGGGAGGCAGCAGUGGGGAAUAUUCCACAAUGGGCGAAAGCCUGACGCAGCAACGCCGCGUGAGUGAUGAAGGUCUUCGGGUCGUAAAGCUCUGUUGUUAGGAAAGAAAAAAUGUAGAAGUAACUCUGCACGUCUUGACGGUACCUAAAGAGAAAGCCACGGCUAACUUCGUG